AGAGUUUGAUCAUGGCUCAGAUUGAACGCUGGCGGUAUGCUUUACACAUGCAAGUCGAACGGGCUUGGGGGCUUGCUCCCGGGUUAGUGGCGAACGGGUGAGUAAUAUAUCGGAACAUAUCCGGAAGUGGGGGAUAACGUAGCGAAAGUUACGCUAAUACCGCAUAUGCCCUGAGGGGGAAAGGGGGGGAUCGCAAGACCUCUCGCUUUCGGAGUGGCCGAUAUCGGAUUAGCUAGAUGGUGAGGUAAAGGCUCACCAUGGCGACGAUCCGUAGCUGGUCUGAGAGGACGACCAGCCACACUGGAACUGAGACACGGUCCAGACUCCUACGGGAGGCAGCAGUGGGGAAUUUUGGACAAUGGGCGAAAGCCUGAUCCAGCCAUACCGCGUGAGUGAAGAAGGCCUUCGGGUUGUAAAGCUCUUUCAGCCGGAAAGAAAUUGCACUUCUUAAUACGAAGUGUAGAUGACGGUACCGGAAGAAGAAGCACCGGCUAACUACGUGCCAGCAGCCGCGGUAAUACGUAGGGUGCGAGCGUUAAUCGGAAUUACUGGGCGUAAAGCGUGCGCAGGCGGUUUUUUAAGCCAGAUGUGAAAUCCCCGGGCUCAACCUGGGAACUGCAUUUGGAACUGGAAGACUAGAGUAUAGCAGAGGGGGGUAGAAUUCCACGUGUAGCAGUGAAAUGCGUAGAUAUGUGGAGGAAUACCAAUGGCGAAGGCAGCCCCCUGGGUUAAUACUGACGCUCAUGCACGAAAGCGUGGGGAGCAAACAGGAUUAGAUACCCUGGUAGUCCACGCCCUAAACGAUGUCAACUAGUUGUUGGGGGAGGAGACUUCCUUAGUAACGCAGCUAACGCGUGAAGUUGACCGCCUGGGGAGUACGGUCGCAAGAUUAAAACUCAAAGGAAUUGACGG
Molecule: ribosomal RNA, 912 nt
Filed under: uncultured bacterium
Lineage: Bacteria
Description: bacterial SSU rRNA
Rfam family: Bacterial small subunit ribosomal RNA
Source: RNAcentral